UCGUCCCACCCACUUCCUCGAUUCCCGGAUAUAAUUAAUGAAUAGAUUUACAUUUACCUAUCAAUUAUUUUACUCCCACCGCAAAUGAAUAGGAAGCAAAUUCAUAAGUUUUUUUUUACUUUUCUUUCGUGGUGAGUAGAACUAGGGCUUCAUCCAAUUAGGUCGAGUAGUGAAGAUGAAGAUCUUCGUAGUGAACAGGAGGCGUGAACAAAAAAAACUUGAAGGACAUAUCCGAGGACGAAGAGAGUUCAGAUGAUAAUUUUGUUGCCGUGCAUCCAAGAGUUCAAAUUGCGAGCCUAAUGGAUGUACAGUGCAAGCGAAGAGGAUUGAAUGAUGAGUAAGUGUGCAAUGAUGUAACAACCCGCUCUUUUAUCAGUAUUUAAUUCCAGUAUUGCGUGUUUAUUUAUCUAUCUGCUAGUAAAUGAAGCACCUUAUGAUUUCAACUAUGUUUCUGAAUUACGUAUUUUGGAGACAGAGUCACUACACUAGCAGUAUGCAUUUUUAUUUAUCUUCGCGUGUUUAAGACCGCGACGAGAAUCUUUGAGUCGAUGAAUUAUUAUUACUCAGUUAUAACCAACUUAGCGAAGUUGUGUUAUUUAUUAAUAAAGAUGGAGUUUAUUUCAUGUUGUUACUUAAGUCGUGAAUUAUUUCCGACUUUGAAGCUAAUUAAAUCUACGGAUUUAAUUUAAGUAUUAGAAUGACGAACGAAUUAAAUCUACGGAUUUAAUUUAGCAUUUAUCGAUUUUAGCAAACACGAAACCAGUAUUUCUAAUACAGAGAAACCAACACUGAAGGGUUUUAUUUUAGAUCUUUUAUUUAGAUCACAUCACACGCCCACCCUACACCUCUCUACGUCUGCCACAUCCUAGAUUUAAGGAAAAGAAGGAAAAAAGGGUGAGAAAGGUGUGCUGCAGCAGCAGCUCUUCCCCAUGCAACAAGCCAUGCCCAAGUACACCUAACAUGUCAGUUCAGCCACACUACAACCAUGCUCCUCCUUUUAGCACUCAAGUGCACAUCAACCGAGCUCCAAGUAUAAAUUCACUCUUCAAUCCUUGAGCCACCCCUUUCUCCUUUCAACACUUAGAAUUUUCAGCAGCAACAACAAGAAGUUUCAUCUCUCUCGACGCCUCGCACGAAGGGGAGUAGAGCGAGAUUCUUGCUGCGACUUGAACAAGUUUGCACCUCGAUGCUAAAAAAAGCGAGAGAGAAACCAUCGUUCUUUACCCAACCAAAGCACGCGAUAUAUCAAGGUAACCUUCGACCUCUGUUGCUACUCCAAUCGGCAUGAAUCACACUCGCAGAAAUCAUGUUUUAUGGGCUGUAAACGAAUGAACAAAAAGCAUGUUAAGUCACGUUUUUGUGGAACCUACAACUUGAAACCUCGAUGAACGACGAGAACUUUAGCUUUAAACGUAGACGAACGUGAAUAAUCAUAGCAUGCUCACAUAGAGAUUAAGGUCUGUAUACGAGUGAAAAUCGAGGCGAGAUAAGGACAGAGAAUUCUAGUUUUGGAAACUGGAGUCCCCGUCGUUCUUCCCAGAGCAGAGGAAUGGCCAGAGGAAUGACCAGAGCAGAGCGGAGAAAAUGCCAGACCAGAGAAAUGGUCUCGCCAAAGGAAUCACUUCGCCAGAGGAAUCACUUCGCCAGAGGAAUCACUUUCACCAGAGGAAUCGUUCCUCGCCAGAGGAAUCACUUCGCCACAGAGCUAACUCAGCCAGAGCUGACUUAGAGGCCAGAGCUGACCUCCAGAGCAGAAAGCGAGGAAGCAGAGCAGACCGAGAGAGAGAGAGAGAGAGAGGGAGAGAAAGAGAAGAGAACAUAAGGUGUUUAAAUCUUUAUUAUUUUCUUUCCCUUGCUUACACGAAGGGAGAUUAUUAUAUUUUUACUGGCAGUUUAGAACACCCUAAUGAGAACGAAUCAAUGUAGUUAAUUACUUGACUUCAUGGGACGGAACCUAGUUGGGUUAAUUGUUUAAUAAAAAGGAAUAUGAGCCAUGCAUAAUUACAUUACGCAUCCUCAUUUAUUUGAGAAUUUCCUCGGACUAAGACCUUACGUUAUUCUUUUCCGAAUCAAGGUUGAAUGCAAGAGUUUAAGGCUUAGUCGUGAGUCUCCACUACCAGGUGGGCUUUCUUACAUAUAAACUAAAACCAUAUAGUAGAAUUGUUAAGACUUUAUCCUUAUGAAUUUGAAUGAUGUUGUCAAUGCCUAAAAUACUUUAUGUUUUGUUAUUAAUUGCCUAUCUGAUGUUAAUCGAAUUCGGAUUCCGGAUGGGACCGCAAAUCCCUUCGGAAUUAGUGUACACCCUUGUGAUCGUGAGUCAUCUAGCGGGUUGGCCGAUCAUAGUGACCGUAGAGGGAGGCCUCCCUCUCGGCACGAGUUACUGAUAUGGUGAUUAAUGAUAUUAAAAUGCCUGCGCGGGUUAUUGAUGAAAGAAAUGAUGUUAUUUUAGGUAAAUACGAGUCUUUAAAGGAAAACCCUCGUAUCUUACUACUGUUAAGGGCUUGACAAUAAAAUAUUAUGCAUGUAUGUAAAUUUCGGCAAGUGUCCACUAAGUACUCCCGUACUUAGCCCUGCAUGUAUUUUUAAAUGUGCAGGUUGAGCUGUGAUCGGGGAUGUAGUAUGCAAGCGGAGCUUUUGUCAAUCUAGGACGAGAACCUCAGAGUGGAGUAUAUGUCUUCAUACAUAUACUCAAAUUGUUGUUUUUCCGCUGCGAACACUGAUUACGAAAAGAUAUUAUGUCAUUUGUCAAACAAUAUGUAUUAUUUAACAAUGUACUUGAACUCAUUGAGUACCCUUUUGGAUAAUAUUAUGUACGGUCCCCUUGUGGCCUUUGUUAAUAUCUAGUUUUUGAAUGUUUCCCUUA
Salvia miltiorrhiza (redroot sage) is the source of this 2863-nucleotide long non-coding RNA. RefSeq lists it as uncharacterized. The record is from RefSeq and is a predicted model, not a curated record. Lineage: Eukaryota; Viridiplantae; Streptophyta; Magnoliopsida; Lamiales; Lamiaceae. The transcript has 3 exons.